AGUGUGACACGGUGAGGGGCGCACAUCGCCGUGAACUCCUUUUUCCCCCACAAAAAUCCGAAUCAAAUUAAGCCUCUACAUUAGCGCUGUUCAACAGAAAUAUCACGUGAGCUAUCUUACAGUAUUUAAGACAGGAAUCUUAAAUUUUCUAGUAACCACGUUAAAAAGUCCACAGGAACGCACAUGGUACCAAGAAGGGAAAGAAGAUACCACGUAUGUGCAGUCACUCAAUUCAGAGUGUGGAAAAUGCUACAGGCUAUCUCUGGAGGGUCUUGAAGAAAGAAGAAAUUCUGUAUUAUCCAAACAGAUGGUUAUGAGGAUCUACUUUCAACCUUCCACGUUAUGUGCUGUGAAUCAAGUCUUCACCCUACCAUUUAUCCAUUGUCUCCAAGAGCUUUUGAUAUAUCAGGAAAUAGGGAAGCCCUACAUAUGGAAAAGUGUAAGGAUUGUAGUGGUGAGAUGUGUGUUCCAGACUCUCUGGAUUCAAAUCCCAGCUCUGCUACUCAUAAGUAAGUGACUUAAUUGCAUUCACUUUCUCAUUGGUAACAUCGGGACAAUAAUAGGUCCUUACUGCCAGGGCUGCUAUGAGGAUUAUAAGCAACACGCAAAAGGCAUUUGGAACUAGACCCUGCUUGUGUCAAGAAGGCUACAAAUACAAGGGAUUUGGGUGCAGGGAAGUUAGGAGAGAACAGGGAAGGCUCAUCAAGAGAGAACAGGGCAAGACUCACUGAUGUGUUAUUUUCAUUCUGCAAAAAUUUAACAAGUGAUUACACAGCAGGAGCUACAUUAAAGGCCCAGAAUUUUAAAAGAAUUAAAAAAAAUAGAUGAAGUCCUAAAAACUUCCUUGUGUAUUUGAAUAAAAUGAUAUAAACAG
Molecule: long non-coding RNA, 874 nt
Filed under: Homo sapiens (human)
Lineage: Eukaryota; Metazoa; Chordata; Mammalia; Primates; Hominidae
Description: novel transcript
Source: RNAcentral